This 545-nucleotide ribosomal RNA is filed under the name uncultured archaeon. RNAcentral describes it as "bacterial SSU rRNA". It matches the Rfam family "Archaeal small subunit ribosomal RNA", at positions 326 to 875 of the family's 1478-position model. The record is from RNAcentral.
CGGGGUGCAGCAGGCGCGAAAACUUUGCAAUGCGGGAAACCGUGACAAGGGAACUCUGAGUGCCCGUUAAAUCGGGCUGUCCAUCGGUUUAAAUAACCGGUGAAGAAAGGGCCGGGCAAGACCGGUGCCAGCCGCCGCGGUAAUACCGGCGGCUCGAGUGGUGGCCACUAUUACUGGGCUUAAAGCGUUCGUAGCUGGUUUGUUAAGUCUCUGGGGAAAUCUUCCGGCUUAACCGGAAGGCGUCUCAGGGAUACUGGCAGACUAGGGACCGGGAGAGGUGAGAGGUACUCCAGGGGUAGGAGUGAAAUCCUGUAAUCCUUGGGGGACCACCUGUGGCGAAGGCGUCUCACCAGAACGGCUCCGACAGUGAGGGACGAAAGCUGGGGGAGCAAACCGGAUUAGAUACCCGGGUAGUCCCAGCUGUAAACGAUGUGCGUUAGGUGUAUCGGUGACCACGAGUCACCGAGGUGCCGAAGAGAAAUCGUGAAACGUACCGCCUGGGAAGUACGGUCGCAAGGCUGAAACUUAAAGGAAUUGGCGGGGGA